Pelobates cultripes (western spadefoot toad) is the source of this 240-nucleotide non-coding RNA. NCBI's taxonomy places the organism in Eukaryota, Metazoa, Chordata, Amphibia, Anura, Pelobatidae. The record is from the annotation of a GenBank genome assembly.
CAAGACAUACUGGAAAACAGGGCAUACAAUUACGAGGACAAUUUAGUGGUGCUUAAGACUAGAGACCCCAGACUCAACAAAAAAUUAUCCAUACCUCAGUUCGUGAUUGCCUUCAGGAUAUACCGUGAUGUCAUGUGCACGGUGUAUCCACACAGAAGAGAAGAGCUAGACCUCUACCUCCACAAGGUGGUGGAUUUAGGCAUCAAGUACUGGGGCUCAUCUUUUUACCACUAUCAUAAG